This 391-nucleotide long non-coding RNA is filed under the name Bos taurus (domestic cattle). RNAcentral describes it as "long non-coding RNA NONBTAT026480". The record is from RNAcentral. Lineage: Eukaryota; Metazoa; Chordata; Mammalia; Artiodactyla; Bovidae.
GCCUUAGAGGCGUAUGCUGUAUAUUAGAGCGUAUAAUAUACGACUGCUAGGUAAUGUAAUACGUAUAAUAACUUAAUACGCAGCGUGGCUCCGGAAGAUGUUAGCUAUUACUGUGGAGAGAAAAACCCGCGUAAUAGAGUGAGAAAAAACGUAAAAUUCUGUAAAGUCGUUCCUUACAGUGCUUUUCCUAUCACCUCCUUCCGUAAAAGAAAUUCGAGAUACAAAAGAGACGUAUCAGUCUUUACCAGUGAAAUAAUUUAUUUGGCAGUUACCUCAAAAUAGCGGGGAUUGGAAUUUUCCGUAUUGAAAAGUUAAAAAAAAAAAAAAAAAGCGGGGGUGGGGAGAAACGGAGAACGAGGAAUGAGAGCUAGCUGGAGAUGAACCACAUGAG